GUUCGUCACUCAUACCCCCCUGGAGUGAACGGACGGGCAGCCACUUUCUGCCCUUCCCUGCUGUCUCGGCUCGCUCUCUUGAGUCUGUUCAUUUCUACACCAAGGUCACGAAACCCUCCCUUGCUAUUGCGAGAUCAGAGUCCUUUAUCUGAUAAAUUCUGUGACAGUUUUGCCAACCACGAAGGGACCCUUGUGCUCAGGAUUCUCCAGGAACCGGGCACCCAAGCGCGCUCAAAGGAAAACUCAGGAUGGAAGAAAGAUGGCACAUGCAGAACUCUAGAUGCAUAAAGGAUGAACACCACAGAGAUGGGAAUCAGUGUAGUUAUCUGCUGUAAUUGGAUAAGUACUGUACAGGAUAUUGAAUAUCUGGAAUGCCAAGAAGAGGUCAUUUGACAUUUCGUGCCAGGCAUGUUUCAAUGCAAGUAACUUUGACAGAAUGGAGAGAAAUACACAUUUCCUCAACUUUC
Ornithorhynchus anatinus (platypus) is the source of this 467-nucleotide long non-coding RNA. RefSeq lists it as uncharacterized. The transcript is spliced from 2 exons. The record is from RefSeq and is a predicted model, not a curated record. NCBI's taxonomy places the organism in Eukaryota, Metazoa, Chordata, Mammalia, Monotremata, Ornithorhynchidae.